Cercocebus atys (sooty mangabey) is the source of this 600-nucleotide long non-coding RNA. RefSeq lists it as uncharacterized. The transcript is spliced from 4 exons. The record is from RefSeq and is a predicted model, not a curated record. Lineage: Eukaryota; Metazoa; Chordata; Mammalia; Primates; Cercopithecidae.
CAUGUUACCUGUGGAUUUCUUGAAGACGAGCUUUGUUAUGUUGAGCUGAUCAGCAGGAGAAGUUCAUACCACUUGAGCUGGAUCUAUCUGCACAUGCACCUGGCCCAGGAAGCUGUAAUGGGAGAUCUGAUGAGCAGUGGAGAACUGAACCAAAGCCCUUGGCUUUUGCUCCAUACCAGUCAGAAUCUCAUCAUGAUAUCGUGUUGCAUUGAGUAGUCAUGCCUCCACAGGCUCUUCUUGGCUGUGACUGCUACGUUUUCCUUGGUUUUGCCCACCUUACGGUUUACAGAAGGUAGUGGUCAGCUCUCUACUCCAUCGUCCAUGUAGUAUAACCCUCAUUGGCUGGAAUCAUAAUGACAUCUGCAUCUGGAACUAGCCACCAGUAUAACACCUACAAAAUGCACGGCGACCUUCAGACCAAAUGAAAAGUCUACAGGGUGAGAACCUGAAAAUCCAGCAAUGAGGAGAAAAAAGUUAUUUCCCAUUAAGAACACUUUUCAGAAGCGACACAAUUCCAGUUACUGAUUCAUCCCGUUUACUAGAACCUGUUCAUCUGGCUAUGCCUAAAAGCAAGGGAAACUGAAAUAGUGGCUUUUAUAU